UAUACCUACGGGGCGCAGCAGUGAGGAAUAUUGGUCAAUGGCCGAGAGGCUGAACCAGCCAAGUCGCGUGAGGGAAGACGGCCCUACGGGUUGUAAACCUCUUUUGUCGGGGAGCAAAGCGAACCACGUGUGGUUCAUUGAGAGUACCCGAAGAAAAAGCAUCGGCUAACUCCGUGCCAGCAGCCGCGGUAAUACGGAGGAUGCGAGCGUUAUCCGGAUUUAUUGGGUUUAAAGGGUGCGUAGGCGGAUUUUUAAGUCAGCGGUAAAAUGUCCGGGCUCAACCCGGGCCGGCCGUUGAAACUGGG
Molecule: ribosomal RNA, 305 nt
Filed under: uncultured bacterium
Lineage: Bacteria
Description: bacterial SSU rRNA
Rfam family: Bacterial small subunit ribosomal RNA
Source: RNAcentral